RNAcentral lists this ribosomal RNA (405 nucleotides) under Triticum aestivum (bread wheat). RNAcentral's name for it is "partial small subunit ribosomal RNA". Lineage: Eukaryota; Viridiplantae; Streptophyta; Magnoliopsida; Poales; Poaceae. The record is from RNAcentral.
AUGCCGCCGAAGCCGCCGAGACCGGGGGAGCCGCCGAGGCCGGGGGAGCUGCCGCCGAGGAAGGGCAUGCUGCCGAUGCCGCCGAAGCCCGAGGUGGCGCCGCUGCUGCCGGGGAGGCUGAAUCCCGGCAUGCUGCUGCCGCCGCUGAAUGCCGGUGACCCGCUGCCGAGGCGGUCGAAGGGCGGGAAGGUCGUCGGCUGCAGGACCGCGUCCUUGCUGGCGGCUGCCGCCUCCGUCGUCUUGAUGUUCCUCGCCUCGGCGCUGGUCGCCGCGGCCAGCACGGCGAGGACGAGCAUCGCCGCCAUCUUGGUCGACUUCUCCAUCGCUAGCCUGCUCCUGAACUGGUGCUCUUGCUCCUGGCUAAUGUGUGAGUGGCUGCUUGCUUUGUUUGCUUGCUGCUUCUAG